Long non-coding RNA from Octopus sinensis (East Asian common octopus), 136 nucleotides. RefSeq lists it as uncharacterized. NCBI's taxonomy places the organism in Eukaryota, Metazoa, Mollusca, Cephalopoda, Octopoda, Octopodidae. The transcript is spliced from 3 exons. The record is from RefSeq and is a predicted model, not a curated record.
UUGCAGCAGUCCUUCAGUUUUUCAAAGCCCUAUGAAAGAACUUAUAAGUUUGGGCCUCCAGCUAGGCCUUUUGUGAUACCCUUAAAGCCAGGAACUUUUCAGUACCCCCUUGUGGAUGUCUUGAGAGAGAGAGAGA